GAAAUGCAUGGCUUGUUGAGAUUAAAGAUGAAGAAACUCAAGCUGCCGUGAGACUACUUACUGAGGCCUCCGGGCGACCUCGAGAAGUUGAAACUAUAUGGAAUAACUUCUGUGUGGCUUCCAGAUCAUCUGAUGAAAAAUGGUUUGAUUUCGAUUGCAAAACUGGUUACCGAUAUGUGUGUCAAUCGGAUAAAUCUUGGAUCAUUUUCAACAAUGAGUUAACUCUUCAAAUUAUAUCAAGUCCUGUAAAAACAUUUUCUGAGUCCCAACAAGCUUGUGCAAAAAACGGAUCGACACUCGUAAAUAUAAAGACAGACGCUCUCAAUUCAUUCAUCGACGAAAG
Styela clava is the source of this 343-nucleotide non-coding RNA. The record is from RefSeq and is a predicted model, not a curated record. Lineage: Eukaryota; Metazoa; Chordata; Ascidiacea; Stolidobranchia; Styelidae.